GAUGAACGCUGGCGGCGUGCCUAAUACAUGCAAGUCGAGCGAACAGACGAGGAGCUUGCUCCUCUGACGUUAGCGGCGGACGGGUGAGUAACACGUGGAUAACCUACCUAUAAGACUGGGAUCACUUCGGGAAACAGGAGAUAAUACCGGAUGAUAUAUUGAACCGCAUGGUUCAAUAGUGAAAGACGGUUUUGCUGGCACUUAUAGAUGGAUCCGCGCCGCAUUAGCUAGUUGGUAAGGUAACGGCUUACCAAGGCAACGAUGCGUAGCCGACCUGAGAGGGGGAUCGGCCGCAUGGGAACUGAGACACGGACCAGACUCCUACGGGAGGCAGCAGUAGGGAAUCUUCCGCAAUGGGCGAAAGCCUGACGGAGCAACGCCGCGUGAGUGAUGAAGGUCUUCGGAUCGUAAAACUCUGUUAUUAGGGAAGAACAAAUGUGUAAGUAACUAUGCACGUCUUGACGGUACCUAAUCAGAAAGCCACGGCUAACUACGUG
Molecule: ribosomal RNA, 497 nt
Filed under: uncultured bacterium
Lineage: Bacteria
Description: partial 16S ribosomal RNA
Rfam family: Bacterial small subunit ribosomal RNA
Source: RNAcentral